ACCAGGUAUGGUGGCUCAUGUCUGUAAUCCCAGUGACUUGGGAGGCUGAGGCUGGUGGAUGGCGAGUUCAAAGCCAGCCUCAG
RNAcentral lists this small RNA (83 nucleotides) under Marmota monax (woodchuck). Lineage: Eukaryota; Metazoa; Chordata; Mammalia; Rodentia; Sciuridae. The record is from RNAcentral.